GGGAAGGUAGCUCAUUGGUAGAGUGCUUGCCUUGCAUGCAUGAGGCCCUGGGUUCAAUUCCUCAGCACCA
Molecule: non-coding RNA, 70 nt
Organism: Dipodomys ordii (Ord's kangaroo rat)
Lineage: Eukaryota; Metazoa; Chordata; Mammalia; Rodentia; Heteromyidae
Source: Rfam